Molecule: ribosomal RNA, 253 nt
Filed under: uncultured bacterium
Lineage: Bacteria
Also listed under: 1 other name
Description: partial 16S ribosomal RNA
Rfam family: Bacterial small subunit ribosomal RNA
Source: RNAcentral
GACGGAGGGGGCUAGCGUUGUUCGGAAUGACUGGGCGUAAAGGGCGCGUAGGCGGUCUGUCAAGUCAGGCGUGAAAUCCUUGGGCUUAACCUGAGAAUUGCGUUUGAUACUGAUAGACUAGAGGACGAGAGAGGAAAGUGGAAUUCCGAGUGUAGAGGUGAAAUUCGUAGAUAUUCGGAGGAACACCAGAGGCGAAGGCGGCUUUCUGGCUCGUACCUGACGCUGAGGCGCGAAAGCGUGGGGAGCAAACAGG